Molecule: long non-coding RNA, 985 nt
Organism: Arabidopsis lyrata subsp. lyrata
Lineage: Eukaryota; Viridiplantae; Streptophyta; Magnoliopsida; Brassicales; Brassicaceae
Exons: 2
Source: RefSeq, a predicted model, not a curated record
CAUGAACACUGGUGAUAUUAUUUCAGUAUCAUUGGCCCAAAUAUAAUUUAAUAAUAGACCAAACCAUAAUAUUGGGCCUGAUACGUAUCAGUGGACUGAUACUUGUGAUACUCAGAUUUGUGUGACGUGGCUUCCGGUGAUUGGUCUAUGAAAACAGAGAAGAAAAAGAAAAAAACCAUUUCUCUCUUUCGUCAGCUUCUCACUUUCUCUCUCUCUUUCGAGAUCAUCAAACACAAUCAAAACGAAGAAUCACUUGAAGAGGAAGAAGAAGAAGAUCGAGAAGCUUAAUGGGUUGGAUCCCGUGUUCUGGGAAAUCGAGCGGGAGGACUAAGACAAGGAGGAACGCUGACCAAAAACUCAACAGGAAGUCUUCUGAUUGUUCUGUCUCUACUUCAGGAUUCCGAGAGCGAGGAAUGUGAAGAAACAGAGGAAGAGUUUCUAGAAAGGUAUGCUAAAGCUGCAGCAGAAUUGGAGGAUAGUGAAGUAAUUAAAGCUGUCUUAUUGCAAAGUUCAAGCUAAAGUCCCAAUAGUUUCUCCAUACUUCCAGUCAUCAACUAUUUCACAAUGUGAUUCUGACAUUGUUCUUCUCAAAGUGGAAAGAAUUAUAGGAGAGGAAGCAGCAAACGUCAAGCUAAAGUCCGAAGAGUUUCGCCAUAUUUCCAGGAAUCAACUGUUUCAAAACAGCCAAGCCAGGCUCCUCCUAGAGAUUUGCGUCAGUAUUUUAAAGUUGUUGUCUCAAGCUUCUGUAAUCAAGCAGACUCUACUGAGAAAGUUACCUCUGCAAUGUUCCCAUUUCUCUUAAUUCAACCGAAGGUUCUUUCUUGUUCUCUUCAUUUUAUACAACUAUGGUGAAAGUCUUUAUUACUUCUGCUAGUUGUUGUAAUCAUAUCUUUCAAUAGACCUGGAAUUUGUUUCAUUAUGAUUAAGAAUUGUAAUUUGUUAUGAUUAUGGAUGGAUUUCUAAAAUUUUAUAUAUUUAUUUUUUA